RNAcentral lists this transfer RNA (73 nucleotides) under Diaphorina citri (Asian citrus psyllid). It matches the Rfam family "tRNA". Rfam says of the family: Transfer RNA (tRNA) molecules are approximately 80 nucleotides in length. Their secondary structure includes four short double-helical elements and three loops (D, anti-codon, and T loops). Lineage: Eukaryota; Metazoa; Arthropoda; Insecta; Hemiptera; Psyllidae. The record is from Rfam by way of RNAcentral.
AUAUCGAUAGCUUAGUUGGUAGUGCGUCUGCCUUGUAAGCGCUAGGCCGCGGGUUCGAUUCCUGCCCGGGGUG